UCUCGUAAUUUUUGCGCCAACAGGUCAG
This 28-nucleotide small RNA is filed under the name Bombyx mori (domestic silkworm). Its description in RNAcentral is "ovarian small RNA-29780". The record is from RNAcentral. Lineage: Eukaryota; Metazoa; Arthropoda; Insecta; Lepidoptera; Bombycidae.